Ceratotherium simum simum (southern white rhinoceros) is the source of this 445-nucleotide non-coding RNA. Lineage: Eukaryota; Metazoa; Chordata; Mammalia; Perissodactyla; Rhinocerotidae. The record is from RefSeq and is a predicted model, not a curated record.
AUGUCUGGGAAAGUACCGGACUGGCUGAGAGGCAAGGUGGAAGUCAAUCAGUAGGAUCCCGCGGCUCCUGGAGGAGAAUGACCAGCUGAUCUGCUGUAUCAUGGAGUAUCAGAACAAAGACCCGGUGAAUGAGUGCGUCCAGUACCAGCAAGUAUUACACAGAAAUCUCAUUUAUCUGGCCACCAUCACAGAUGCCAACCCAACCAGUGCUUCAAAAGCAAUGGAAUAAUCUUCCAGUUGGCUGUUGUGAGGAGUAAUUGAAUGUAAUCCAUUUCCUAUGAAAUGGAGAUAGGAUCUUUACCAACUCAACUGCUUAAAACAUGAAUGAAACCUCUGUGGCUCUUUUAAAAAUGUGAAAAUGUGAAUAAAGCUACUAAAUUAACUGUAUUCUCAAUGUAAAUAUUUAUUUUAAUAGUUAAGCAGAUUCCCUCAAUUAAAAAAAAAA